This 808-nucleotide long non-coding RNA is filed under the name Homo sapiens (human). RNAcentral describes it as "non-protein coding lnc-PPP2R2D-1:1". Lineage: Eukaryota; Metazoa; Chordata; Mammalia; Primates; Hominidae. The record is from RNAcentral.
GUGCUGAUCCGCCAUCCCACUGUGGAGAUGAAGGCGUGUGCUGAUCCCCCAUCCCCCUGUGGAGAUGAAGGCGUGUGCUCAUCCCCCAUCCCCCUGUGGAGAUGAAGGCGUGUGCUGAUCCGCCAUCCCACUGUGGAGAUGAAGGUGUGUGCUGAUCCCCCAUCCCCCUGUGGAGAUGAAGGUGUGUGCUGAUCCCCGGUCCCCCUGUGGAGAUGAAGGUGUGUGCUGAUCCCCCGUCCUCCUGUGGAGAUGAAGGCGUGUGCUGAUCCCCCGUCCCCCUGUGGAGAUGAAGGCGUGUGCUGAUCCGCCGUCCCCCUGUGGAGAUGAAGGCGUGUGCUGAUCCGCCAUCCCCCUGUGGAGAUGAAGGCGUGUGCUCAUCCCCCAUCCCCCUGUGGAGAUGAAGGCGUGUGCUGAUCCGCCAUCCCACUGUGGAGAUGAAGGUGUGUGCUGAUCCCCCAUCCCCCUGUGGAGAUGAAGGUGUGUGCUGAUUACUAAUCCACAUGGGCAAGAACAGGAUGUCCGUCAUUACCCUGAAUCAAUGCUAACACAGUGCCACUUGAGUUCACAUUAAGUUAGAAAUUGAGAAUCUAAAGGUACCUUUAUUUUAACUAAAAAAUAAUUUAUAUACUGUAUAUUGAUUGUGACACAAUUUACAAAGUCUGAGGUGUGGAACAGUUAUUUAAGCAUUAGUCAACCCUGGUCCUUAAGACAGUUCUAGUAAAAUGGGAUUGUAUAUAUUUGUUCAACUAUUUUGACCAAAAAGUUCAAUAAAUUUUAAAUGUUUAACUGGAUUUUCACUGCGUAUUUG